UCGAGCGAACAGACGAGGAGCUUGCUCCUCUGACGUUAGCGGCGGACGGGUGAGUAACACGUGGAUAACCUACCUAUAAGACUGGGAUAACUUCGGGAAACCGGAGCUAAUACCGGAUAAUAUAUUGAACCGCAUGGUUCAAUAGUGAAAGACGGUUUUGCUGUCACUUAUAGAUGGACCCGCGCCGCAUUAGCUAGUUGGUAAGGUAACGGCUUACCAAGGCAACGAUGCGUAGCCGACCUGAGAGGGUGAUCGGCCACACUGGAACUGAGACACGGUCCAGACUCCUACGGGAGGCAGCAGUAGGGAAUCUUCCGCAAUGGGCGAAAGCCUGACGGAGCAACGCCGCGUGAGUGAUGAAGGUCUUCGGAUCGUAAAACUCUGUUAUUAGGGAAGAACAAAUGUGUAAGUAACUAUGCACGUCUUGACGGUACCUAAUCAGAAAGCCACGGCUAACUACGUGCCAGCAGCCGCGGUAAUACGUAGGUGGCAAGCGUUAUCCGGAAUUAUUGGGCGUAAAGCGCGCGUAGGCGGUUUUUUAAGUCUGAUGUGAAAGCCCACGGCUCAACCGUGGAGGGUCAUUGGAAACUGGAAAACUUGAGUGCAGAAGAGGAAAGUGGAAUUCCAUGUGUAGCGGUGAAAUGCGCAGAGAUAUGGAGGAACACCAGUGGCGAAGGCGACUUUCUGGUCUGUAACUGACGCUGAUGUGCGAAAGCGUGGGGAUCAA
This 727-nucleotide ribosomal RNA is filed under the name uncultured Staphylococcus sp. RNAcentral describes it as "bacterial SSU rRNA". It matches the Rfam family "Bacterial small subunit ribosomal RNA", at positions 62 to 771 of the family's 1533-position model. Lineage: Bacteria; Bacillati; Bacillota; Bacilli; Caryophanales; Staphylococcaceae. The record is from RNAcentral.